Molecule: small RNA, 576 nt
Filed under: Pan troglodytes (chimpanzee)
Lineage: Eukaryota; Metazoa; Chordata; Mammalia; Primates; Hominidae
Description: retained intron
Source: RNAcentral
UCGCUCCGGCUCCCCUCGCCGUCCUGGACACGGCGGAGUGCGGAGCCGCCCGUAAGCUCUAGGGCCCGUGCAGGCCACACCAUGAACACCUCCCCAGGCACGGUGGGCAGUGACCCGGUCAUCCUGGCCACUGCAGGCUACGACCACACCGUGCGCUUCUGGCAGGCCCACAGCGGCAUCUGCACCCGGACGGUGCAGCACCAGGACUCCCAGGUGAAUGCCUUGGAGAUCACACCGGACCGCAGCAUGAUUGCUGCUGCAGGUAUCUGUGACCCUUGAUCUCUAAACUCCUGAGCUCUGGUGGGUCGACCUGAGCACAGCCAAGCUUCAGUUCAGCCUGUGUCCCUAGGUUACCAGCACAUCCGCAUGUAUGAUCUCAACUCCAAUAACCCUAACCCCAUCAUCAGCUACGACGGCGUCAACAAGAACAUCGCGUCUGUGGGCUUCCACGAAGACGGCCGCUGGAUGUACACGGGCGGCGAGGACUGCACAGCCAGGAUCUGGGACCUCAGGUGUGGUGGGGAGGGGGCCUGCUGCCCGGGGCUGGGGUGGGCUGCUCUGGGAGACCGUUUUAGG